This 61-nucleotide transfer RNA is filed under the name uncultured Anaerosacchariphilus sp. It matches the Rfam family "tRNA", at positions 6 to 65 of the family's 71-position model. From Rfam's summary of the family: Transfer RNA (tRNA) molecules are approximately 80 nucleotides in length. Their secondary structure includes four short double-helical elements and three loops (D, anti-codon, and T loops). Further hydrogen bonds mediate the characteristic L-shaped molecular structure. tRNAs have two regions of fundamental functional importance: the anti-codon, which is responsible for specific mRNA codon recognition, and the 3' end, to which the tRNAs corresponding amino acid is attached (by aminoacyl-tRNA synthetases). tRNAs cope with the degeneracy of the genetic code in two manners: having more than one tRNA (with a specific anti-codon) for a particular amino acid; and 'wobble' base-pairing, i.e. permitting non-standard base-pairing at the 3rd anti-codon position. The record is from RNAcentral. Lineage: Bacteria; Bacillati; Bacillota; Clostridia; Lachnospirales; Lachnospiraceae.
GAUAGCUCAGUGGUAGAGCGUUCGGCUGUUAACCGAAAUGUCGUAGGUUCGAGCCCUACUC